UUGACCCGACUCUUUCCCACCAUCAUAAAGCGAACUUCUCUCCACCUUCUCCGCCUCUCCAGUCUCCAAUCCACCAGAGCCUCCCUCCUUUCUCCCCAAAUGGCUCCGAUACCGAUGCUGCUCGUCCUCCUCUUCGCGGCUUCUCCGGCCUCCUCUUCCAACUCCGAAGGGGAGGCGUUGCACGCCUGGAGGGCGCGGCUCACAGAUCCCACCAACGUGCUGCAGAGCUGGGAUCCCACCCUCGUCAAUCCCUGCACCUGGUUCCAUGUCACUUGUGAUCCCCAGAAUCGCGUUAUCCGCCUGGAUUUGGGGAAUUCCAAUAUUUCUGGCCCUAUCGGCUCCGAGCUUGGCCGUCUUGAGCACCUUCAGUACUUGGAGCUUUAUAGGAACAACCUAAAAGGGAAGAUCCCAGCCGAGCUUGGCAACUUGAAGAACCUCAUCAGCAUGGACUUGUAUGGGAACCAUUUACAAGGAGAGAUUCCCAAGUCCUUUGCCAAAUUGAAGUCACUUAGAUUCUUGCGGCUGAACAACAACAAGUUGACCGGAUCAAUUCCAAGAGAGCUUGUUGUCCUUUCAAAUCUCAAAAUCUUGGACGUUUCAAACAAUGAUCUUUGUGGAACCAUUCCGAUUGGUGGACCAUUUGCCAACUUUCCUCUUCAAAGAGCGAAUUCUAAUAAAGCUUCAGCAGUUUUAUAGAGAAGGCAUGCCGCUGAACCAUUGUAACUUUUCUUCCUUCUUUUUCUUCGUGUUUGCUCUUUCUUGUGCUUCUUUGUUUUGCUACUCCACGUGAUCUUUUUAUCUCUUCCUCUUCUUUUGCGUUAAAGAUUGAGAGGUGUUGCCCCCUUUGCGCAAUAAUUGGUAUCAGAGCGAGGAGGGUGUUGUCGAAUUUUUUCAACAUGUCGGGGACGUCUUUUGUGAAGCUUGAUAUGGUGAAGUUUGACAGAAUCAGGAACUUCGGAUUAUGACAGAGAAGAGUCAAUGACUUGGUGCAAUAAGGCAUGGUGAAGGCACAAGAGAAAGGACAUCGGAAAGCAUGGAGAGAUCGGAUUGGGAAGAACUUCAGGCGAAGAUAGUGACAACAAUUAAGCUUUGUCUUAUAGAUGAUGUGAUGUACCAUGUUAUGGACAAGGAGUCACAUGUGAUGGUUUGGCAAAAACUGAAAGUCGGUACAUGUCAAAGUUAUUAUUAACAAACAAAUUGUACCUCAAGAAAAAGUUAUACGGACUGAAGAUGAUAGAGGGAAUUGAUUUGAGCCAACACAUCAACUUAUUCAAUUAGAUCGUGAGCGAUUUGAUGUGAAGAUCAAGGACGAAGACAAGACGCUGAUGUUGCUGAAUUCUCUACCUUCAUCUCCUAUGUACGAGAAUUUAGUUACUACUUUGAUGUGGGCUAAGGAAACUCUUAAAUUGGAGGAGAUCACAAGUGAGUUACUAGGUUUUUAUCAAAGGAAGAAAAUAAGGGAUGAAGUUUUUCAGUGAGAAGGACUUAUGGUAAAUAGCAAUCAAGAGCUUACCUCGACAUGGAUCAGGUAACAACAAUAAGGCUCGUUCUAAGUCAAGAGGGAAGGAGGUGAUCACUUGCUACAAGUAUAGAGGUAAAUGUAUAUAAAGAGAGAUUAUUUAGGGAUGAAGAAACAUGUUGUAGAGAACAAUGAUAGUUCGACAAAUCUACAAACAUAAUUGAAGAAGAAAAUUCAGAGAGCGGUGAUGGAGAUAUAUUAUCAGUUAUGUUGAGUUUGGAGCAGCUGUCGGAUGCAUGAAUUUUAGACUCUACAUGUUCAUAUCACAUAACUUCAAAUAAGGAGUGAUUUAACACGACAGUGAAUUUUGGUUCAGUGUUGAUAGGAAACGAUGCGUCAUGCAGAGUUAUCGAUAUAAGGAACAUCAAAAUCAAGAUGUUUGAUGGUGUGAUCAGAACCCUAUGUGAUGUUAAACAUAUACCAGAGCUAAGGAAGAACUUACUUUCACUAGACACACUGGAUGGUAUUGGUUGUAGUUACAAAUCAAUGAGAGACUUAUAAAAGUCAGCAAGGGAGCUCUGAUGGUAAUGAAAGAACAAAAGUUAGUAGGAAAUAUCUACAAGUUGAUAGUGACUAUAGUUAUAAGUGAAAUUGCCUCGGUGGAGUUUGAAUCAUACAGUACUGUCUUGUGGCAUAUGCGGUUAGGACAUAUGAGUGAACAUGAUAUGUUGGAACUUUACAAGAGAGAUUUGUUGAAGGGCGUCAAGACGUGCAAUCUUGAAUUAUGCAAAUUCUAUAUUCUUGGUAAACAGAGCAAAGUGCAAUUCUAGACGGCAGACAAUAUACAAGACGGAGAAAAUUCUGGACUAUAUACAUACGGACCUCUGGGAUCAGUUAGUGUAGCAUCAUGAGGGCACUUGUAUUUUGUGAGUUUUACUGAUGAUUACUCAUGAAAGAUCUGAGUAUAGGGUUUAGGGUAUAUUUUAUGCGCUACAAGUUGGAAACUUUUGCAAAGUUUAAACUGUGGAAAAUUAAAAUGGAGAACCAGAUCGGAAGGAAGAUUAAAUGCCUUAGGCCAGACAAUGGGAGUACACAGAUUUAAAUUUUCAAGAUUUUUGUGUACAGUAUGACAUAAUGAAGUAUUUCUUGGUUCGCAGGACACCUUAGCAGAACGGGGUGGCAGAAAGGUUGAACAGGAUAAUCAUUGAGAAGGUAAGAAUCCUUAGGUUGAAUGUAGGACUAAUAAAGAAUUUCUGGACAGAAGUGAUUAAUAAUAUGUUAUCUCAUUAAUAGAUCGCCAAGAGCAGUACUAGAAGGCAAAGUAUCAGAGGAGGCGGUUCACAGAUCUGAGAAGGACAAGUGGAUGGGUGCUAUGACGGAAGAGAUAGAGUCACUGUAUAAGAACAAAACGUGAGAUCUAGUGGAGCUUCAUGAGGAAAACGAGCUAUACGGUGCAAGUGGUUGUUGUUCAAGAAGAAAAAUAGGUCAACAAAUUAAAGGGGCUACUGAGCAAAGAAUUUGACAUGAAGGAUUUAGGCGAGACUAAGAAGAUUCUUGGGAUGAAGAUUCACAAGGAUAGAGCUGCAGGAAGAUUAUGGGUAUCUCAACGUAGCUAUGUGGAUAAGGUGCUAGAUAGGUUCAAUAUGAAGAAUAAGAAGUCAGUAAGCUAUCCCAUGACGCAUCACUUUAAGUUAUCCAGCAUAGUAUCUAAAGAUGAAUGAAGAGAUCCAAGAGAUGUCAAAGGUUUCUUAUGCCAAUGCAAUUGGUUGUCUAAUGUAUGCCAUGGUUUGCAUGAGACCAUAUUUGGCACAAGCAAUUAGUAUGACGGGCAAGUUUUUUUCUCAAAUCUUGGUCGAUCAUAUUGGGAUGUAGUGAAGUGGAUUUUUAAAUACUUCAGAAAUAUAAUUGAUUAUGAAAUCAUGUUCAAUAAACAUCCGAAAAAUCGGGUACGUGGAUGUAGACUAAUGCAGGAGGUUCAGAUGACAAGAGGUCUACUACGGGAUACGUGUUCACUAUGAUGGGAGGACUUAUAUAUUGGAAGUCUAUGAUAUAAUCUAUUGUUGCUUUGUCCAUUACGGAGUUAGAGUGUAUGUCAGUAGCUAAAGAAGCGAAGGAAGUUUUAUGACUUGCAGGAUUAGUCAGAGAAUUGGGUGUUCAGUAAGGUAAAGUCAAGUUAUUAUGCGAUAGUCAGAGUAUUAUCUAUUUGACAAAAAAUCAGAUGUAUCAUGCGAGAACCAAGCAAAUUAAUGUGAGGUUUCACAAGAACAGAGAGUUGAUUGUUUUGGGAGAAAUUCAACUUGAGAAACUUCACAGUGUAGACACUGUUGUAGGCAUAUUGACAAAGCCUGUGACUGUAGAGAAGUUCAAGCAUUGCUUGAAGUAGAUUCAUAUCUCUAGAUGCUAGAGGAAGGAAGCCCAGACCUAGAGAUUUAUGUGGAGUUUUUCUUAGAUACUUGUAUUCUUCGAAGGGGUAAAUAUUUGUCAAGGUGGAGAUUGAUGACGGGUGACUUAUGUCUGAGUGAAGGUCAAUGCGAGGGACGUUACGGAUGAAAAGAAAGAAAAAAAGGGCAGCCCGGUGGACGAAGCUCCCGCCAUGCGGGGUCCUGGGGAAGGAUCCAUUGUACGUAACCUUACCCUGCUUUUUGCAAGAGGCUGUUUCCAGGAUUCGAACCCGUGAUCUUUUGGUCACAUGACAACAACUUUACGGAUGAAAAGAAAUAAACGACGAAAAAAUUUUGUUAGGGUUUUUUCGUAACAUAAUUCUAUUACGAUUUUUCGUAAUAAUUUUGUUACAAUUUUUCGGGUACUAUUUAUAGGGAUCAUUGUAAACUUAUCGGUAGUAUUAUCAUUACAAUGUGAAUUCUCUUAUGUAAAGCGAAUUUUAAUAAAGCUUUGACCGUUUUACGGAGUAGGCACACCGCCAAACCACGAUAACUCUUCUUCUUCUUCGUGUUUACUUUUUCUUGUGCGUCUUUGUCUCAUUGCUCUGCGCGAUCUCUUUCUCUCUUCCUCUUCUUCCGCGUUAGAGGUUGCGAGGCGUUGCUCCCUUUGCACAAUAGUAUGUCAAGAAGCAGAGUCGUGUUGUCAAGGCUCGUGAUGCUUGACUUUACGCAACUAAGUUGGUGUUGGCUCGAUGGCUUAAGGAUCGUUAGAGAUCAUACAAGGAUGGUAUGAGACAUUCUGGGAAUUGUAGAACAAGGAACACUAAGGUGACGACCUUAACAAGAGCAACAAGUGGUGAACUAAGUAAAUGAGUGAAGUAUGACACAUGGAUCAGGUUAAGGGUUUUGAUGGGAGCCAAACUAUGUAGAUGAACGAGUGAAAUAUGACAUGUGGAAAAAAAUCCAAGGGUUCAAUGCAUUCAAGGUAUUGCCGAAUUGACAAGAGAUGCAUUGUGGGGUGAAGUAAAUCUAUGAUGUAAAACUUUUUAAGUGACUUGUGAGGGUUGGGUAACCUCUACUUUGGGUUUCGAGUAUACUUGAUUUAAGCGAAGACUCAACUGGCCUAGUCGACUAUCCAAUCGACUCGAGGGUGAUCCUAGUCGACUAAUAUGCUGAGUUGACUAGGGAGUUAAGUCAGUUUGAUUUGCUCACAAAAUGUUCAUGUUCGAAGUGGGCAGUCGACUACUGAAUCUCACUAGUCAAAAACAAGAUUGUUGAUUGGGCAUAAAAUGUUCAUGUUCAAAGUGAAAUCGAUUGGACAGUCGAUUAAAUCCUUGAUUGGAGUCAGAAACAAAACUGACUAUUGAUCUGACAAAGGAAAGAUGCAACUCUAAGGUUGCUUAUGCAAUAAAGUGAUUCAGUUAAGAUGUGAGAGUGUCAUUGCCAGCUGUUCAGUCAACCGUUAUUGGAAGCAUCACUCAUCAUAAUAAAGCUGUGUUAAUCCCAGCUGUUUGAGAUUUGCUAUGCGAAUUGCGUCCCUUCAUUGUAUUCCAUGCAAGACAUUAUCUAAUGCAAGUAUUGCCAAUUUGGGUAUUGGAUGAGUGUAGUUGAUCAAUGAUCCCUUUGCUUCAUUACAUUACUUCAUGGGUAUACUAUUGUGACAUAUCUGACUAAUAUGAUUAUCCAGAUGAAUCAUUGGUCUGAAUUUGAUAGGAGGUCAGUCUUCUGUUUACUGCAUUACAACAUCACUUACCUUGAUGCUAGUAUCAAAUUGGACAUUGCAUUUUGUCACAAACUUGUCUUUUAGCCUUUUAUGCCAGUUUAUACCGUGGAGUGAAGCGACUUAGGACGUGGUUAAUCAUCCAGUUGACACUGAACUCUUGUGUUCUCAAUUCAUUAAUUGAGGUCGUCUUUCCUGAUAAUUCAUCCGGCUGCUUGUACAUUAAAGUAUAUGCAGAUGCACUGAUUUCCACUUUAGUGGAUGCUGUAUUUUUUGCUAAAAAGUUUCAUGCGAUGACAACAAUAAUUGGUGAGACUUCUGAUAGGAUCAUGUUUGAUUUUCUAAUUCUUAAACUUUAGCUAGUCAUUUGGUUACUUUUGUCUCAAACACCUAAAUAGUCAGGUGCCUAAUAGUCUAUCUUCAAGGAGAUAUUGAUGUAGCAUUGGAUUCUUUGGAAUUCUCCUGUGAUACCUCUGUAUGGUUUCAUUAUUGCACUCUGAUUGUUCUUUAUUUGUUUAAAAUUGUAUUAAUGGAGUUAGAAUGUCUAGGUGGGAUUAUCUCUUCAUGUAUUUAUCUCCAGAUUAGAAAAACUAGCUCUUACAGCUAGCCAUUGUUAUUUACGCAUGAAACUACAAUGAUCAAGACAAUUUACUAAUUUCUCACAUUAGCUAAUCUCUUGCUGUUACAGCUUUGACAACAA
This is an RNA transcript of Zingiber officinale, 6260 nucleotides long. It is a transcript of the gene named leucine-rich repeat protein 2-like, with no coding region annotated. Lineage: Eukaryota; Viridiplantae; Streptophyta; Magnoliopsida; Zingiberales; Zingiberaceae. The transcript is spliced from 8 exons. The record is from RefSeq and is a predicted model, not a curated record.